UAAUCAUUUUUGCUGAAGCGGGGCGGCAGACUUUAUAGCCUGGGGAGCUAAUUAUGUUACAAAUAAAAGGGCUAUAUUCAUACAACACAUCUACUCCUAGUUUACGUAGUGGUCCCAAUUUAUUAGGUUUAUCCAACGCGCUAAACCAUAAGAUAAGAAUGGAAUUGUUGGCUGAGAAUGGAAUUGUUUGCGACUAAAAAGUGAUGAGUUUGUGGUUUUGUGUGCUGAGCAAACGCAGCCAAAAUAUAUUAGGUGGCUAUUCAACUAUUUCGUUCAGGGGCCGUCCAAAUACUGGAAGGAAACUUAUAAGCAUACAUUGAAGGCUUCUUUCAUUAUUUCUGUGCUCCCCCUAUCUUCAGUCUACAAACUUCUUGUGUCAAGCCAAGGUAUAUUGUAACACCAAGAACAUGGAAAAUGGAAACAGACAUUAAAACAAGGAGCCUUGGUGGCGCAGAUUAAAGCAUUGUUAAGUAACACCAGCUGCCUGCAAUUACUGCAAAUUCAAAUCUCACCAGGCUCAGCAUUGACUCAGCCUUCCAUCCUUUUGAGCUACAGACCCUAAGUUCUUAGGAUUUCUGAUUUUCCAGUUGCAAAUGUUCAUGUUUCCAAAACCAAAACUGAUAUCCAGUAGAAGCAAAGUCUAAGGAGGUUUAUGAGAACAAAAACUUCUGUAGAAAUGGGCAUAUUUUAACAAAAAUAAAGCAAUUCCUGGACAGGGCCUCAAAACAGUUCUACAAAAGAAGAAUUUGUUCAAUGGACAUGAAAUGCUCAAUGGCUGUUUGAGCAAAAUGAAGACUAUAAAGAAACUAGAAUCCUAAAAAAGAAGCAUUUCACACUGCAACAUUUUAAUGCAAACUUUAUUUAUUUUGCUCUACCCUGAUUUCUACUUCUAUUACUAUUGGAAUAGAAAAAAAAAUGAAAGUAUGAUAAAAUGCUUGUCUUCAUUCAGAUUCUGUACACAUAAACCAUUAUCAGUGGAAGUAAGAACCAUCAGAACCUUAAAUGAGCUUUGGGGCCAUCUGAAGGCUGGAUACACAGAUGUCCUAUAUCAGUGAUGGCUAACCUUUUUGCCAUCGUGUACCAGGAGUGGGGGGGAAGUCGCGCGUGCGCCCACAUCCAUAAUUCUAUGCGCCCCACGCAUGUGCGCAUGACCCUCCCCAUGCUCCUGGCACGCAAUAGCAUGGUAGGCCCAUUUUUUGCUCUCCCCAGCUUCCAGAGCCUUUCUAGGAGUCUGGGGAGAGUGAAAACGUUUGCCAAUGUCCGGUGGAACUUCCGAUAUGGCUACGCAUGCCACAGAUUUGCCAUCACGGUCCUAUACUGAACUUAUACAAUAUAACCAGAAAUUAAGUUCAGAACACUCUGCUCUGCUGGUGCAUGGUACAAUAUUUCAAAGUGAUGUCCAAAUAGUGAGAACUCCCACUCAACAAAUGAACUAUAGCGAACUAGUGACUAUUCACAAGUAUAAAAUAUAAGGUAAUUUCCCCCCCCACCCCUUUUUGAUUGUUUUCAUCUUCUACUGUACAUUUGUGCCAGUUACUUGACUACACCAUCCUGAUCUAUACAAAGUCUAUGAAUCCUCAGGACCUGUUACUUAAUUCUAAGACAUUCUUCUUGAGACUCAUGAUUUUGGUUGCUUAUUCAAUGUUAGAUCUGAAUCUGUAUGUGUACAGUCUAGCUCUCCUUUCCCAAUCUUCUACCAAAUUUUCUUUCCAGCACAUUUUCUUCUCUUUCCAAACCAACAGAGUAUUCAAACACAAUUAUGUACAUGGGUUAGGACUCUGUCCGUCUGACUAUCCAUUAGCAUGACAACAGUCUAGAAACUAAGUAGAACAGGAUCAAAUUUGGUGUGAAGAACUGAACAAGAGAAAGAUCAAGUUCAAAAUAGACUGGAUCAGACAAGGAACAGCAGCAUAAAAAAAAAAAAUCCACAAAAUUCCCCCAAAUGCAUUCCUUAGGGAAGAGGCAAUUUGGAGCUGUUCAGCAUA
This is a long non-coding RNA of Pantherophis guttatus, 1985 nucleotides long. RefSeq lists it as uncharacterized. NCBI's taxonomy places the organism in Eukaryota, Metazoa, Chordata, Lepidosauria, Squamata, Colubridae. The record is from RefSeq and is a predicted model, not a curated record.